Rosa rugosa (rugosa rose) is the source of this 1307-nucleotide long non-coding RNA. RefSeq lists it as uncharacterized. The transcript has 7 exons. Lineage: Eukaryota; Viridiplantae; Streptophyta; Magnoliopsida; Rosales; Rosaceae. The record is from RefSeq and is a predicted model, not a curated record.
GUUUUGCCCUCAUUCGAGAUUUUUUUUACGGUUCUGCCACUGAGCUAUACUAGAUGCUUCCAUCAGUUUCUUCUUUCUUCUACGGCCAUCGGUUUCUUCUCUCUUUUGAUGGUUUCUCUCUUCAUCACUCAGUACGACAUCGAAGAAGUACAGCAACACAUGUAACAACCCAACAAUCUCGCCGUUCCUUGAUUUCAUUAGUGAAUCACGACCCUUGAUCUGUGCGUGACCUAUGUAGUUUCGCAGCAGGAGAUAGUUUCUCUGUACGAGAGGUUCUGUCAGCUCGAUCAUAGUGGCGGAGGUUUCAUCUUCGUCGACGAGUUUUUGUCCGUACCGGAAUUCGCACCCAAUCCUCUCUCUCAGUUUUGGGUGGGUGGACGUAGAUACUGGGGGAGAGGGAUUGGAGCAAGACCACACUUGCUCUGAGAAGAUGCUUCUGUAUCAACGCCCAAUUUCCUUUCCUCAUCAGAGAGAUUUGAUCCAACAACAAAGCUACUUAGUUUUGGCUGAGGAUACAACAGAGGAUUAAAAGCGCAGAGCUCAGGAUGUUAACCGAGGAGCAAGAAAAUGAACUUCUGAACUUUACACCAUUCAUUCCAUUGAUGUCUCCCUUGUUGUAGUGACGUUGAUCCCAUAGUAGCAUCUUCUCUGCAGGAGCAUCAGAGAUGUAAAUAUUGUCUUGGAACUGCUUAUGGCUCAUCUUCUGAUGCAAUGACUAUAAUCCAACAAUGAUCUCCUAUUGUUAAGUAGUGAUUCUGGAUUUUGAGCAAUGGAAGAACUCUAUGCAGUAGUGAUUCUGUUUGGAAGGCUUUGGUUUUUUAUGCCAAAAGUUGUGAAUGCUUCUUUAAUGCUGAUCAAGACAAGGAUUUGGCAAGGCCAUAGUAGACAUAAAGAAAAUGUUGAAGCAAUUUGAUAAGUUGCUCAAUGCCGACACCAUAAUUUUCAAAAAUGCUAGAUGCAAGGUGCUUUUUAGUAUUAACUUUUUGAAGUUAUUCAAGAAACUGAUGUUGGCCUGUUUGGAGAAGUCAGCACUCAGCACUGGAUCUUCUAUUAAAGCUUUCAUGUGGCUGGAGACCCAAGAAGCAAGUGUUGAGAGAAGUUGUAGUAACUCCUCACUAAUCUUGAAGAAAUUUAAGGUUAAAUCUCAUUGUUUGCACAACAGCCUAUUGCAAAGAAUAUGAGAUACAUUCAAAUGAUAAAUUUCUGAGAUGUAUUGCCUCCAGAGGAUAUCUCGAGGAUAUCCCAAAAUUGGAAUAUCGCUUGGAGACGGUUUUAAAUAGAUACACAAAUAAAAUCAUUUUUGUUCA